AUUGAACGCUGGCGGCAGGCCUAACACAUGCAAGUCGAGCGGAUGACGGGAGCUUGCUCCUUGAUUCAGCGGCGGACGGGUGAGUAAUGCCUAGGAAUCUGCCUGGUAGUGGGGGACAACGUUUCGGAAGGAACGCUGAUACCGCAUACGUCCUACGGGAGAAAGCAGGGGACCUUCGGGCCUUGCGCUAUCAGAUGAGCCUAGGUCGGAUUAGCUAGUAGGUGAGGUAAUGGCUCACCUAGGCGACGAUCCGUAACUGGUCUGAGAGGAUGAUCAGUCACACUGGAACUGAGACACGGUCCAGACUCCUACGGGAGGCAGCAGUGGGGAAUAUUGGACAAUGGGCGAAAGCCUGAUCCAGCCAUGCCGCGUGUGUGAAGAAGGUCUUCGGAUUGUAAAGCACUUUAAGUUGGGAGGAAGGGCAGUAAGUUAAUACCUUGCUGUUUUGACGUUACCGACAGAAUAAGCACCGGCUAACUCUGUGCCAGCCGCCGCGGUAA
RNAcentral lists this ribosomal RNA (500 nucleotides) under uncultured bacterium. RNAcentral's name for it is "partial 16S ribosomal RNA". It matches the Rfam family "Bacterial small subunit ribosomal RNA", at positions 30 to 523 of the family's 1533-position model. The record is from RNAcentral.